This 465-nucleotide ribosomal RNA is filed under the name uncultured bacterium. RNAcentral describes it as "bacterial SSU rRNA". It matches the Rfam family "Bacterial small subunit ribosomal RNA", at positions 338 to 795 of the family's 1533-position model. The record is from RNAcentral.
CCUACGGGGUGCAGCAGUGGGGAUUAUUGCACAAUGGGCGCAAGCCUGAUGCAGCCAUGCCGCGUGUAUGAAGAAGGCCUUCGGGUUGUAAAGUACUUUCAGCGGGGAGGUAGGUGUUGUGGUUAAUAACCGCAGCAAUUGACGUUACCCGCAGAAGAAGCACCGGCUAACUCCGUGCCAGCAGCCGCGGUAAUACGGAGUGUGCAAGCGUUAAUCGGAAUGACUGGGCGUAAAGCGCACGCAGGCGGUCUGUCAAGUCGGAUGUGAGAUCCCCGGGCUCAACCUGGGAACUGCAUUCGAAACUGGCAGGCUAGAGUCUUGUAGAGGGGGGUAGAAUUCCAGGUGUAGCGGUGAAAUGCGUAGAGAUCUGGAGGAAUACCGGUGGCGAAGGCGGCCCCCUGGACAAAGACUGACGCUCAGGUGCGAAAGCGUGGGGAGCAAACAGGAUUAGAUACCCUGGUAGUC